Molecule: transfer RNA, 73 nt
Filed under: Candidatus Woesearchaeota archaeon
Lineage: Archaea; Nanobdellati; Candidatus Woesearchaeota
Description: tRNA-Gly
Rfam family: tRNA
About the family: Transfer RNA (tRNA) molecules are approximately 80 nucleotides in length. Their secondary structure includes four short double-helical elements and three loops (D, anti-codon, and T loops).
Source: RNAcentral
GCGGGUGUAGUGUAGCCUGGUAUCACUCUGCGUUGCCAACGCAGCGACCCGAGUUCAAAUCUCGGCACUCGCA